Molecule: small RNA, 939 nt
Filed under: Histoplasma ohiense
Lineage: Eukaryota; Fungi; Ascomycota; Eurotiomycetes; Onygenales; Ajellomycetaceae
Description: hypothetical lncRNA
Source: RNAcentral
UUUGAACGAACCAGGUUAUCGCAGACCAGGAUUCAAAGAGUGGAAAGCUGAAUGUUUCGGGAAAACCAAUACUUCCAAGAGUGUUGUUGUUCAAUGUACCACAUGAGAGAAAAGAAUUAUUCAUGGAAAAUAUAAUGCGGAUAUUACAACAUUUCUGCCUCCCGGUGCUCCCUUCCGACGAUCUCUCUUUCGAACUUCACUAUGCUUCCCAGAGCUUUUUGACUCCUGGUUUCACUCUGAAGAUGGAAUGAGGUUAGGACCUGGCGGGAAAAUAGUAUAUAUUUAUUUGAUGCUCCUGAAGAUAUCGACAAUGAAGUCUCGUUCAUCAGUCAAUGGGAUACUCCACGAACCAAAUACAAUGUAUCUGCUGUCACAACUCCAGACGUUGAAAGAUGGUUUGGACUAAGCUAUCUCAAGGCAUUCUACCAUGGCUUGCCAUUAUUGACAAGCUGGAAAAAUGAUAGUGUCACGAAACGGGAUUCGAAGUCCAAAAGUAAACAAACCGAAGGACCUCCCGGUAUUCGAGAUUUAAUAGCACAGCAGAAUGGCGUUGUGAAUUUAGACACUUCGCUUCACCAAACAACAUCUUUCCCUACCAGCCAGACCUGAACAACCUUCUUGAUGCUGUAAGAAGCAAAGAGUGCUCACCUGCUGAUGAGGUAGGAUGACACCUUCGUCUUUUGCAGUUGGGAUUUGGAGUCAGCGGUGUUGCAGUUGUUUUUACAUCAAGAAAUGACCGGAUCUUUGACGGCAAGCACAAUAUCCACCGCGAGCAAAGCUGGUCAGAUCACUUUAUCAAUGCUACGAAGUUAUCGUCCUGGGGAGCCACUUCAAGGCCGAAGAAGCGAGCCAAACCCCCCAACCAUCAAUCAGCCACGAUGAGAUCCAUUCUUUUCACAACAUAUAGGGUUAGGGAGGGUUGGGGUUUAGACUAAGGGG